This is a long non-coding RNA of Athalia rosae (coleseed sawfly), 593 nucleotides long. RefSeq lists it as uncharacterized. The transcript has 2 exons. The record is from RefSeq and is a predicted model, not a curated record. Lineage: Eukaryota; Metazoa; Arthropoda; Insecta; Hymenoptera; Athaliidae.
UCCAGGCUUCUGAUAUUGCUCUUGCAUUUUUGCUUAGAAUUGCCUCAUUUUGUACACCAAGAUCGAACCUAACGCCCAUUCCGAUCUUGCGUACGAUCAUCUAAAAUCAAUGUUUGACUCAAGACUAUCUUUGAAUUCGAUAUUUCCGAGGUCACGGUCUAAGAUUAAACCUGACGUAUGACGUGCUGGUCGAAAUUGUUUAUGAAAUGGAAUGAUCAUAUCCCUGACAUGUAGAAGGUAAUAACAAAGUCACGUGGUAAGUAGAUGGGCGUCGUUUGUGGGAGGGAAAGGGAAGCUGACUGCAAAAAUACGAGGGAACGGAGGGGAGCGAAUCUAGUGGCCUACGUGACUGUCGGCACAGGACUUUGAAGAAAUUUGCGACAACUUUGGGUUGAUGUGAUUACCGAUACAGAUAGGAAAUUAUUUGGAUUAAUGAUUAAAUCGAAAGUAUCCCGAUGCACUAAAUAUUUAUUUUUAAAUCUCAGAAAAAAAUAGCUGCAUCAAACUUGAACCUGUUUGUUCUUGGAUGGAGUGACGAUAAUCAAUUAACAAUAUUUGUUUCUGUAAUAGCAAUAAACUUAGUUGCUGUACAA